RNAcentral lists this long non-coding RNA (216 nucleotides) under Solanum tuberosum (potato). RNAcentral's name for it is "long non-coding RNA (STUB_LNC008100)". Lineage: Eukaryota; Viridiplantae; Streptophyta; Magnoliopsida; Solanales; Solanaceae. The record is from RNAcentral.
UGAACCUGAAUCCUAGCGGGUGGGUCGAUUAGAGUCCCUGCUUGUACCUGCGCGCACAAAACAAAAAGCAACGUCCCCAGGCAAAGGGACGUCAGUACGAAUAAAAAUGUACUGGUAUGUAAAGAGAAAAGUAAAAUCAUAAACAUUUACUGUAAAAGGGUAAUAGAGAUACCACCUGAAACUGAAACCCAAAUAAUCUCCAUGGCUGACCUUUAG